GAUGAACGCUAGCGGCAGGCUUAACACAUGCAAGUCGAGGGGCAGCACGUCUUCGGAUGGUGGCGACCGGCGCACGGGUGAGUAACGCGUAUGCAAUCUACCUUUUACAGGGGCAUAGCCCGGGGAAACCCGGAUUAAUAUCCUAUAGUACCAUUAUAUAGCAUUAUAUUAUGGUUAAAGUUUCGGCGGUAAAAGAUGAGCAUGCGUCCUAUUAGCUUGAUGGUAAGGUAACGGCUUACCAUGGCUAUGACAGGUAGGGGUCCUGAGAGGGAGACCCCCCACACUGGUACUGAGACACGGACCAGACUCCUACGGGAGGCAGCAGUGAGGAAUAUUGGACAAUGGGCGCAAGCCUGAUCCAGCCAAGCCGCGUGCAGGAAGACGGCCCUAUGGGUUGUAAACUGCUUUUAUACGGGAAGAAACACCCCUUCGUGAAGGGACUUGACGGUACCGUAUGAAUAAGGAUCGGCUAACUCCGUGCCAGCAGCCGCGGUAAUACGGAGGAUCC
Molecule: ribosomal RNA, 508 nt
Filed under: uncultured bacterium
Lineage: Bacteria
Description: bacterial SSU rRNA
Rfam family: Bacterial small subunit ribosomal RNA
Source: RNAcentral